GAUGAACGCUGGCGGCGUGCCUAAUACAUGCAAGUCGAGCGAACGGACGAGAAGCUUGCUUCUCUGAUGUUAGCGGCGGACGGGGGAGGAACACGUGGAGAACCUACCUAUAAGACUGGGAUAACUUCGGGAAACCGGAGCGAAUACCGGAUAAUAGUUUGAACCGCAUGGGUCAAAAGUGAAAGACGGUCUUGCUGUCACUUAUAGAUGGAUCCGCGCUGCAUUAGCUAGUUGGUAAGGUAACGGCUUACCAAGGCAACGAGGCAUAGCCGACCUGAGAGGGUGAUCGGCCACACUGGAACUGAGACACGGUCCAGACUCCUACGGGAGGCAGCAGUAGGGAAUCUUCCGCAAUGGGCGCAAGCCUGACGGAGCCACGCCGCGUGAGUGAUGAAGGUCUUCGGAUCGUAAAGCUCUGUUAUUAGGGAAGAACAUAUGUGUAAGUAACUGUGCACAUCUUGACGGUACCUAAUCAGAAAGCCACGGCUAACUACGUG
This 497-nucleotide ribosomal RNA is filed under the name uncultured bacterium. Its description in RNAcentral is "partial 16S ribosomal RNA". It matches the Rfam family "Bacterial small subunit ribosomal RNA", at positions 28 to 507 of the family's 1533-position model. The record is from RNAcentral.